AUUGAACGCUGGCGGCAUGCCUUACACAUGCAAGUCGAACGGCAGCGCGGGAGCAAUCCUGGCGGCGAGUGGCGAACGGGUGAGUAAUAUAUCGGAACGUGCCCAGUAGUGGGGGAUAGCCCGGCGAAAGCCGGAUUAAUACCGCAUGAGACCUGAGGGUGAAAGCGGGGGAUCGCAAGACCUCGCGCUAUUGGAGCGGCCGAUAUCAGAUUAGCUAGUUGGUGGGGUAAAGGCCUACCAAGGCAACGAUCUGUAGUUGGUCUGAGAGGACGACCAGCCACACUGGGACUGAGACACGGCCCAGACUCCUACGGGAGGCAGCAGUGGGGAAUUUUGGACAAUGGGCGCAAGCCUGAUCCAGCAAUGCCGCGUGC
This 374-nucleotide ribosomal RNA is filed under the name uncultured bacterium. RNAcentral describes it as "bacterial SSU rRNA". It matches the Rfam family "Bacterial small subunit ribosomal RNA", at positions 29 to 404 of the family's 1533-position model. The record is from RNAcentral.